Molecule: long non-coding RNA, 245 nt
Filed under: Cavia porcellus (domestic guinea pig)
Lineage: Eukaryota; Metazoa; Chordata; Mammalia; Rodentia; Caviidae
Description: lncRNA (ENSCPOG00000032911.1)
Source: RNAcentral
GUGUGCGUCCCCUUAGACCUCGGAAGCCCCCUGCCCGCCCAGGCUGUGGAGUCUCGCACCCGUGGGUGCUUUUGCGCCCCCGGGGGAGGGGGCGGCUUGUAACUCAACGUGACAGGUGUCUGCCAGGCGCGAGCCCGACUGACCUUUCCAUCCCUUCCGCCCCCAGCCCUUCUAGGAACACAGAUACCUCUGUUAAACUAUAAACUUGUGGCUUCUCCCCGACCUCCAGAACUGCCUAAGAAAAC